GUCCUUAAUCUAUUCAUAUUCAUGUUAGUUGUUUGAAGAUCAUGGGUGUUGGUGGAAUCUGACAAACAUAGCAUGCAACAUGAGAGGUUCAGGAGUUUAGUUCAUUGCUUUUGUUUUUUAUUUUCAUUUUAAUGAUGCCUGGAUUAUAUCCUUCUUACUGUGUAAGGUGCCUGUUCUGAGCAUACAAUUUUCCCUGUACAAGCUUGGGAAUUGAAGAGGGGUGGGAUUCACCAAAAACCAUAACCAAACCAUGAAAGCGGAGAUGCAUAUCCAAUGUAAUUUUAUUCUGUGUCUAUAGAUUUUGUUUUUACUAGUUUUUUGAGUCUUCAACAUCUGUCCAUCCUUUGAAGUAUAUGCAUAAUGGAGUUUUUGAAUGCAAGGAUCCAAACUAAGACAGAUAGAGAUUUGGUUUCUAAAAUUCAUAAUUUUGGGCCUUUAGUUUUUGGAACUUUUGGACCUAUGGAAGGUAAGGUGUACUGAUCUUGAAUCCCAAAGGGCCAAUUUACUCCACCUUGUGAUAACAUUUUAAGGUAUUGUUCCCCCCUUGAUCCUUAAUAAUGAAGCGAUAGGUCUACUCUAUUUUGAAAUCCUAACCCACAUCAAGCCUUUUCUGGGAGUAACUAAUGUGGGUGUGGUCAAUCAAGUGGACUCAUUGGGAAUUCCAAGUUAAACUUAACUAUGAAACUUGAGGCAUGAAACAUGAUUAAGCUUCUUUUUCCCAUGCUCAAGCUCAAUUUGAGAAAACAACUGAUGUACCUGAACUUGAUUUGAUUAGUUUAAAUGAUUUACUAUAUAUAUGAUUUUAUGUAUGCAUAUUAUAUGCAAUAUGCAUUAAAAAUAGUAAAAAUAUUGAUUAAAACUUGUGAGCCUUGUGAGUAUUAAAAUACUUUUAACUCAACUUAAUUAGCUCAUUGAACUACUCAAGCUCGAGCUCAAGUUUGACAUGAUAGCAUAUGAGUUGAGUUCAAAUAUUUUGGUAAUUCAAGCAUGAGUGCUCACAAGUUGCUUACACUCUAGUAACCAUCCUUCUUUAAAUGACUCAAUAUAUUUGAACACUUUGAUCUAGGUCGGUAACUAUUGGACUCAAGUUUUUGAAUUUUCUUUCAAUGUUAGGUGUAGUGACCCAAGUUUACUUCAUCAAAAUUCCUAGAAUUAAGUUCAAAAAGGUUUAUGUAAAAAUGAUCUAAUGGUUAUCGUAUCAAGUCAAAGUGUUUGAGUAACUUGAUGUCUGGAGGUUAAAUCAUCUAUCCAACAGCUUUCUUUGCAAUGCCUCAGUGAAGUUUUCAAGUUCGAGCAGCGCUUGACUUGUUUAUACCUCCAAUAAUCAAUCUUGAGUAAGCAAUCUCAAAUGUCACUUUGAUUUGAGAUAAUAGCUGUUAGAUUUGGACUUUCACACACACACACAUUUAUAUACGUAUCUUUGUUUAGUAUGGUAGCUUUUAGUUAGUUAACUAUAUCAAAGCUAUAAAAACUGAAAGCAACAAAGAUUCAUAUAGAGUUCAGCCAAAUAGCAAUUGUCUCAAGUUAAAAAUGUCUGAGUAUUUUGGCAUUCUGAGGUCGAAUCAUCACAUACCACAUGAGGAAGGUUGGUGGGUUGAGAAAGGUAGGAUGCAUGUUAGAGUUAUGUGAUUGUGUUGUAUAGAGUGUGCUCACUCCUUAUGAAUUAAAUACAGCACAGGCGCCAGAUUUUUUUAGCACAAUUUUUGUUGUCUCAUUUUUCCAAUGGAUCAAUUAAAGAUGCAUUGAUAUAUUUCCAUUAAGGUGCUUUUCUAAUCUUUCUUAUUUAAUGGAGGUUAGGGAGAGUUUAUUGUUUGUAUAAGAGUUGUUUAAGACUGUAAGUCUGUUUAACUUGAAAGGGAAAACAAGUCUCGUCUUUAUAGGCUCUCUGGAGUUUGAAGAUAUCCAAGCUGGAGAUUUUCUGUUAUCGGUUUCCUGCAUCGAACUUACAAUAUUAGAAAUUUCUCAAGUAAUGAAUUAAAUAAGCUAAUGUACAAAUACACCUAUUUUCUAGCAGGGUGACAGGAAUAGCAAGCUCAGGUAUGUUUUAUCCUCCAAUUUUAAUCUUCAUGUAGUUUCAAAAACACCCUCUGUGACUGUGAGGCAGCUCUGGCGACCAUACAUUUACUUUUAUGCAAACUUUUUGAUGAUCAAGGACUAGCUUCAAUAUGAAUAUCUCUGUGAGUUAAAAUCUUUUACUACGAAAUGAAGAAAAAGGGUUUCAUGCACUUUCUUAACAUAUUUCUUGAUUGUAACGCCGAGAAAAGGAGACUUAUGCAACGGUUCUUAUGCAUAUUAGCCUUGUUUGAGAUUGUGUUUAUCGUUAAACCAGUUGGGAUGUAAUAUUGUACUUAUCUUCUUCAACUGCUAAAUUAAAAUCAAAAUCAAUAAAUUGAUUACAUGAUCGAGAGACAUGCUGACCAAUAUGACAAUCAUCAUAUAGUUUGAUUUAAUUAGAUAAGAUAAAAACAGACAUUAGGAUGCAGAAGCAAAAAUGAGGGUAUGCAUGUUCCUGUUUGGUAGAGGUAAUAAUAGUUUGUUUCCAAAGUUAGCCAAUGCGAGGAUGGCAAGGAAGACGAGAGAGCGCAAAAUCAGCUUUUGAUUCUCGAUGUAAUGGAGAGCAGAGGAGAAAACGGAAAGCAAACAAGGAAAUGUGAGCCCAUGAGAAGAAACGGGAACAAAAGGGCAAAGAAAUGGCGUGUGAAGCAUUGGGCCAACAAAAGAUUUCUUUUCACCAAUCAAAGCACCUGAAAAAAGAUGUAUUCAACAUCAGAUCCCACUAAAAUGUUUCAGUACAAGCUAGUAUCGUGGUUAAAUUAAUGGGGUAUGACGGCUGCUGCUGUUUGAUCAGGAAUACAUCGCUCCUUGUUUGGUUUCCAUGGAAGAAGCUAGCUAGCUUAGAAGAUUGAUAUGUUUGCAUGCUUUAUAUUCAUAAAUAGUAAAAGAAUGAAUGAAUUUCAUUAGCAUAUAGGAAGCAAAGGCCAUUGGCAUUUGGCAGUGUGAAUCAUGUUGUUUCCUUUUCCAAGCUUUUGCUUUCUAUUGUAUGGGAUAAUGAU
Non-coding RNA from Theobroma umbraticum, 3053 nucleotides. The record is from RefSeq and is a predicted model, not a curated record. Lineage: Eukaryota; Viridiplantae; Streptophyta; Magnoliopsida; Malvales; Malvaceae.